RNAcentral lists this ribosomal RNA (377 nucleotides) under uncultured bacterium. RNAcentral's name for it is "bacterial SSU rRNA". It matches the Rfam family "Bacterial small subunit ribosomal RNA", at positions 523 to 898 of the family's 1533-position model. The record is from RNAcentral.
AUACGUAGGUGGCGAGCGUUGUCCGGAAUUACUGGGCGUAAAGGGCGCGUAGGCGGUCUAUCAAGUCAGGUGUGAAACCCCAAGGCUUAACCUUGGGCUUGCACAUGAAACUGAUGGGCUCGAGUGUCGGAGAGGAAAGCGGAAUUCCUAGUGUAGCGGUGAAAUGCGUAGAUAUUAGGAGGAACACCAGUGGCGAAGGCGGCUUUCUGGACGAUAACUGACGCUGAUGCGCGAAAGCGUGGGGAGCAAACAGGAUUAGAUACCCUGGUAGUCCACGCUGUAAACGAUGGAUACUAGGUGUGGGAGGUAUCGAACCCUUCCGUGCCGGAGUAAACGCAUUAAGUAUCCCGCCUGGGGAGUACGGUUGCAAGGCUGAA